Molecule: ribosomal RNA, 248 nt
Filed under: uncultured bacterium
Lineage: Bacteria
Description: partial 16S ribosomal RNA
Rfam family: Bacterial small subunit ribosomal RNA
Source: RNAcentral
AUACGUAGGGAGCAAGCGUUAUCCCGGAUUUACUGGGUGUAAAGGGCGCGUAGGCGGGAAUGCAAGUCAGAUGUGAAAUCUGAGGGCUCAACCCUCAAACUGCAUUUGAAACUGUGUUUCUUGAGUGAUGGAGAGGCAAGUGGAAUUCCUAGUGUAGCGGUGAAAUGCGUAGAUAUUAGGAGGAACACCAGUGGCGAAGGCGACUUGCUGGACAUUAACUGACGCUGAGGCGCGAAAGCGUGGGGAGC